Long non-coding RNA from Malus domestica (apple), 726 nucleotides. RefSeq lists it as uncharacterized. The record is from RefSeq and is a predicted model, not a curated record. NCBI's taxonomy places the organism in Eukaryota, Viridiplantae, Streptophyta, Magnoliopsida, Rosales, Rosaceae.
UUAUUGCAUUUUGUCCAAUUUGAAGGGCCAUUUGUUGAGUUCAUCAAUGGAAUUUCGUUGUUUAUGUAUUUCCGAAAUACUUUGGUAUAAUUGAUAAUUAAGGAUUAAAUGUCAUGAGGUUCCUUUUAUUUAAGAUAGACAAGAAAGAAGGAAUUGAAGAAGUGGGUUUGGGUUAGUAUAGAGAACUGAAACAGAAUUGUACUUGCUGUUAUUGCAGGGAAAUGAAACAGAAUUGUACCUUCUGCAAAAUUAUCAAGUGGUAGCAAUUUGCAGAUUCCCUAAUCAAUUGAAGUAAUUUUGUUUCCAAUUUUAUUUCUCUUCCUGUAAUUUUAUGAAAAAAUGGUUGUUUUGUUGCAAAAAGCAGGGCUAUGCUCCAAUCUAUUUAAGACUUGAAGAUUUAGAAGUUUCCUGGCUUUGUCUUUGAAUUCAGGAGGCUUUAUUAAUAGUGACUUUAGACCACAAAAGGAAGGCUUGAUACAACGCUGGUCAAGUUGAGUUAUUGGUGAACGCCUAAUCUUUUUCACUUUAAUGGACAUCAAUGCUUUUUUGGUCGUUAAUGUUUGUUUUCCGUCCAUUUUCCUUGCUACUUUUGUAUUAGGAUUUUAAACUCAAUCGUGAAAUUGAGUGUAGGCCUUUUUUAUUGUACAUAAGUUCUUAAUGUGGAGUCAAUACGAAUCUUCCCUGUACAUAUUCUACUGUUUAAGUAAUGAACAAAACUAUUCUCAA